UACGUAGGGUGCGAGCGUUGUCCGGAAUUACUGGGCGUAAAGGGCUCGUAGGUGGCCAACUAAGUCAGACGUGAAAUCCCUCAGCUUAACUGGGGAACUGCGUCUGAUACUGGAUGGCUUGAGUUUGGGAGAGGGAUGCGGAAUUCCAGGUGUAGCGGUGAAAUGCGUAGAUAUCAGGAGGAACACCGGUGGCGAAGGCGGCCACCUGGACGAUUACUGACGCUGAGACGCGAAAGCGUGGGGAGCAAACAGG
Molecule: ribosomal RNA, 253 nt
Filed under: uncultured bacterium
Lineage: Bacteria
Description: partial 16S ribosomal RNA
Rfam family: Bacterial small subunit ribosomal RNA
Source: RNAcentral